GCCAUCAAAGACUUAAAUAAAACUAUGUAUUGGUAUGUGUGCAAAUGUCAUGAUUGGACAAGACACAAGCAUAUUUCUACUGCGUUAAUUUAAACAACUUCCUGAUUGAUAGAAAACCACUUUUCUCAGGGGCAGCUUUUUAAUAUCAUUAGGAGUUUGGGACUGACAGCUAAAGAGGUCUUUUAGAGAAUGAUUAAUGGUUAAAGCUCUUAAUGGCAAUAAAUAUAGUUAUA
RNAcentral lists this unclassified non-coding RNA (233 nucleotides) under Hevea brasiliensis (rubber tree). Lineage: Eukaryota; Viridiplantae; Streptophyta; Magnoliopsida; Malpighiales; Euphorbiaceae. The record is from RNAcentral.